ACUCGACAACAUUCCAGUGCAGUAAUACUCAGCAGAGAUCUGUAUGCAGGACGGCGCACUGCGGCACUGGUUGCUUAGCUUAGUCAGCGGCUGGAACUGGAGACCGUCGAUGAGUGAAAGUGCAGACCGUGGCGUCCGCGAUCCAAACUCUGGGAGAGUUUACUAGUAGUCUUCAGAGGUGCAUUCCCAGCGUGCUAGGCUGUGAGCUGCAUCAGGGUGGAUGGCGCGCACAUGGACUCACUGCUGCACACUACCCGUGACAGGGACAACGAACACGAUCGACUCUGAUGUAGACUACUAUUCCGACUCCGGUAGGUCCACCGUCUCCAGGCGUACUAAGAUCAUGAAGGCCAGAGAAUCACCAAAACCUUUCAAGCAAACGGUCAACAAAUGAAUGAAGUGCAAUGAUGGGAUGGAAGCAAGGAGGUGAAGACCAGACUUUGCUGGACAGCUAGAAGACGUGUUAUGACCAAUGCCGUAAUACAGCCGAGUAGUACACUGUCAGUGGCCAGGUCUCACACCGAGGAGCAGUACAAGCAAGCAUGGACUGAUUGUCAGUGUUCAAGUACAGGGAAUCACCAUGCAACACAGAACAUGCAGUUUGUCCACCAACAAGUGCAAUGUCAACUGAUAGCCGAGUAGCAAGACGGAUAUGUGGACGUCAGUGCAGAACGCCUUUGUGAUGGGCAAUGUAGCCUUGCAAUUGCAGCUGGUGGUGCUGGUGGUAGGAGGCAGGGUAGUCCCAGCAGAGUAGAUCAUGCGAAGAUCAAGUCUUGCUCACACUCCGGGUGAAUACCUGGCAGUGCAAGAAAGCUCCUUGGCACAUCACACAAUGUGGGUCACAAGAAUGGCGCACAGCAGAAAUAAAUCCAUAUACUGCCGCUUUCUCUUGCUGGUUGUGCUGCUGCAAGUAUCAACCUGUUGUGAACUGUUUUUUCCUCUCGCCCUCUCCUCAUCAAAUAUAUUUUUAUUGUGAACUAGCCUCUAGUUUGACAGGUUAGCAUCACUCUGCUAUUGUGGCUCCUUGUUCACAACCAGAGUCAGCCACUCCCGUCUGUCUGUCUUUUUCUCACACUGUGGUUGUCUGUUUGUCUCUGCCUGUCUCCCCCCCCCCUCUCUCUCUCUCUCUCUCUCUCCCUCCCUCCCUCCCUCCUUCUAUAUCUCUGUUCAAUUUGUCUGGUGGUUGGCGGAGUUGGCAGAAACGCUUAUCGAUGUGGUGGAUGGGGGGAGUGUGAGCGCAAAGCCAAGUUGCAUGCUUUACCCACAUUUUUCUGAGGCAUUAAUCUGUUCAAGGUC
Sycon ciliatum is the source of this 1296-nucleotide long non-coding RNA. RefSeq lists it as uncharacterized. Lineage: Eukaryota; Metazoa; Porifera; Calcarea; Leucosolenida; Sycettidae. The transcript has 3 exons. The record is from RefSeq and is a predicted model, not a curated record.